This is a non-coding RNA of Glycine soja, 117 nucleotides long. The record is from Rfam. Lineage: Eukaryota; Viridiplantae; Streptophyta; Magnoliopsida; Fabales; Fabaceae.
UUCUUAUUGGAUGAUGACUGUCACAUAUCAUGUUGUUGGAUGUCAACUCUAUGAAAGAUGAAAUGCAUUGUUAUUUUCAUUGACCAAUCUGAACAUGACACGUAACAGUCGUCAUCC